CUGUGUGACAUGCACUAGCAGACGAAGCUGGCGAUGCUGUAGGACUAUUUUCACUAUCAUAUUGUCGUACAGCACUUCUAUACUUUCUAUAUAUUGUUAUCAUUACCAGGUGGUGGAGACUUCACACUCUCAUCACACAGCUGCAAUUGUGUAGGGUUAUCGAACAGAUCGCACUUGUUUAAUAGGGUUUUACUUAUUGUUGUGGUUGAAGGAUUCUAAUAUUCAAUACGUAAUCAGGUGUGCCCUAUGGACUUAGGUUGACCCAUCACCUCAUUUCGACCAGUGCCGUGCAGUGAAGCUUCCAUUUGGCAGGAGUCCAAACACGAUCACGUGUCCUAUAACUCCAAAUUACGCCACCAGAGGUCGCACAGUCCUCCAAACCUGCCUGCAGGAGGAGGUUUCACUAGUCGCCGGUUGGAAGAGGCUAAAUAUCUAAACAACCUCCCCGAACCAUAAGGUGAUACCCGAGAAUCGUUACUUAAGUGCGCGUAUAUGGUGAGUGUCACGCGUAAGAUUACGCGUGGUGCAUUUACGUCAUGCCAACACCGUGUUGACUGGUGUGUGUGUGUGUGAAUCGUUUUAGCAGCAGUGUUGAUGGCGCCGAACUCCUCACAGCUAGAACUCAGGAUGUUCCCCGCGUACUUGGCCAGAGGAGUUGUCUUCCUUAUGCUAGGAAUUUUAUGUGUCCUAUCAAUAGUCCAGUGUGAAGCAUGCACAGAAAAUAGGACAGGAGAGAAAACAAGACAUGUUCAUAGGACACGGUGCAUCUUGCGUCAUGCACGUACAGCAGAUAAUGAUCCAACACCCUAUUUUGACAAUGCCACAAGUCGCAAUAUUACCACAAUGAAUGGAAAAACAGCGUAUCUUCCAUGUAGAGUUCGACAUCUGGGAGAUAGAACAGUAAGUGUUCCAUUUUAUAAACUGUAUUUGUUGAACUGUAGUCAUAAAAUGCAUUGUCUUUGUUUACUUUAUAAGCAGUCCGUAGCCAGGAAUAAAUCACCGAGAGAUUAAAGGGAAAAGUGAAAAAACUGUAAUUGAUAUUUCUUUUUCUAGCUAGCAUUGGGUCUAUUAGCUACAGUUCGAGUGUACGCUUUCAUCAUACCUAAGUUUACACGAUGAAAGCGAAAGCAUAUAUUAUAUAUAGGCCUACUGAACGUGGCUAAACUAAGUGGGUUUAGCAACCACAUAGCCUCUCGGAGCUACGGGUCUGUUUAUAAGUAAAUAUGUCGCGAAGAAUCUGGAAAAAUAAUAAAAAUAAAAUG
Molecule: long non-coding RNA, 1262 nt
Organism: Centruroides sculpturatus (bark scorpion)
Lineage: Eukaryota; Metazoa; Arthropoda; Arachnida; Scorpiones; Buthidae
Exons: 3
Source: RefSeq, a predicted model, not a curated record